GGGCCCGCACAAGCGGUGGAGCAUGUGGUUUAAUUCGAAGAUACGCGCAGAACCUUACCAACACUUGACAUGUUCGUCGCGACUCUAAGAGAUUAGAGUUUUCGGUUCGGCCGGACGAAACACAGGUGCUGCAUGGCUGUCGUCAGCUCGUGUCGUGAGAUGUUGGGUUAAGUCCCGCAACGAGCGCAACCCUCACUUUUAGUUGCCAUCAUUAAGUUGGGCACUCUGAAAGAACUGCCAGUGAUAAGCUGGAGGAAGGUGGGGAUGACGUCAAGUCCUCAUGGCCCUUACGUGUUGGGCUACACACGUGCUACAAUGGUAUCUACAACAGGAAGCAAGACGGCGACGUC
Molecule: ribosomal RNA, 350 nt
Filed under: uncultured bacterium
Lineage: Bacteria
Description: bacterial SSU rRNA
Rfam family: Bacterial small subunit ribosomal RNA
Source: RNAcentral